RNAcentral lists this ribosomal RNA (468 nucleotides) under uncultured bacterium. Its description in RNAcentral is "partial 16S ribosomal RNA". It matches the Rfam family "Bacterial small subunit ribosomal RNA", at positions 28 to 507 of the family's 1533-position model. The record is from RNAcentral.
GACGAACGCUGGCGGCGUGCUUAACACAUGCAAGUCGAACGGAAAGGCCCUGCUUUUGUGGGGUGCUCGAGUGGCGAACGUGUGAGUAACACGUGAGUAACCUGCCCUUGACUUUGGGAUAACUUCAGGAAACUGGGGCUAAUACCGGAUAGGAGCUCCUGCUGCAUGGUGGGGUUUGGACAGUUUCGGCGGUUGGGGAUGGACUCGCGGCUUAUCAGCUUGUUGGUGGGGUAGUGGCUUACCAAGGCUUUGACGGGUAGCCGGCCUGAGAGGGUGACCGGCCACAUUGGGACUGAGAUACGGCCCAGACGCCUACGGGAGGCAGCAGUGGGGAAUAUUGCACAAUGGGCGGAAGCCUGAUGCAGCAACGCCGCGUGCGGGAUGACGGCCUUCGGGUUGUAAACCGCUUUCGCCUGUGACGAAGCGUGAGUGACGGUAAUGGGUAAAGAAGCACCGGCUAACUACGUG